UACGUAGGGUGCGAGCGUUGCCCGGAUUUAUUGGGCGUAAAGGGCGCGUAGGCGGCUCGGCACGUCCGUUGUGGAAUCGCCCGGCUCAACUGGGCGGGGGCAGCGGAUACGGCCGAGCUGGAGCAAGCUAGGGGGUAAUGGAAUUCCCGGUGUAGUGGUGGAAUGCGUAGAUAUCGGGAGGAACACCAGUGGCGAAGGCGGUCACCUGGAGCUUUGCUGACGCUGAUGCGCGAAAGCGUGGGGAGCGAUCAGG
RNAcentral lists this ribosomal RNA (253 nucleotides) under uncultured bacterium. Its description in RNAcentral is "partial 16S ribosomal RNA". It matches the Rfam family "Bacterial small subunit ribosomal RNA", at positions 524 to 776 of the family's 1533-position model. The record is from RNAcentral.